GACGAACGCUGGCGGCGUGCCUAACACAUGCAAGUCGAACGAGGUCCAUCCUUCGGGAGAAGACCUAGUGGCGAACGGGUGAGUAACACGUGAAGAACCUGCCCCGAAGACCGGGAUAACCCUCCGAAAGGAGAGCUAAUACCGGAUACCCCACCGAACCGCAUGGUUUGGUGAGGAAAUGGAUUCCGCUUCGGGAGGGCUUCGCGGCCUAUCAGCUAGUUGGUGGGGUAACGGCCCACAAGGCAUCGACGGGUAGCUGGUCUGAGAGGACGAGUCAGCCACACUGGGACUGAGACACGGCCCAGACUCCUACGGGAGGCAGCAGUGGGGAAUCUUGCGCAAUGGGCGAAAGCCUGACGCAGCAACGCCGCGUGGGGGAUGAAGGCUCUCGGGUUGUAAACCCCUUUCAGCAGGGACGAAUCAAGACGGUACCUGCAGAAGAAGCCCCGGCUAACUACGUGCCAGCAGCCGCGGUAAU
RNAcentral lists this ribosomal RNA (478 nucleotides) under uncultured bacterium. Its description in RNAcentral is "bacterial SSU rRNA". It matches the Rfam family "Bacterial small subunit ribosomal RNA", at positions 28 to 524 of the family's 1533-position model. The record is from RNAcentral.